Molecule: long non-coding RNA, 299 nt
Organism: Cyprinus carpio (common carp)
Lineage: Eukaryota; Metazoa; Chordata; Actinopteri; Cypriniformes; Cyprinidae
Exons: 2
Source: RefSeq, a predicted model, not a curated record
GAUGGAAGUGUUUGAACUGAAACUGACGGGACAAAGAUCAGAACACACCAAGAGAGAAAGAGCUGCAGGAGUCAUGAAGGUCCUCAGUGUUUUCAUCCUCUCAUGUCUUCUCUUCCAGACCGCCAGUCUGGAGAAACCACCAGCGUCUGAGCCACCCUAAAGAACGAGAGCAAAAAACCAGAAUCAAACUUGGACAAUAACCAAGAUUUAAACUCGGGGGAGACAAAAAAAAGUGAGGACUCGGAGAUUAAAAAAAAAGUUUUUACUCAAACAGAAGAAAACUGGUGGCCUUUUGGGGG